GCUCUAGUUCAGUGAUACAGCAUCUGCUUUGCAUCUAGAAGAUCCCAGGUUCAAAACCUGGUUUCUCCA
This is a non-coding RNA of Podarcis lilfordi (Lilford's wall lizard), 69 nucleotides long. Lineage: Eukaryota; Metazoa; Chordata; Lepidosauria; Squamata; Lacertidae. The record is from the annotation of a GenBank genome assembly.